This 405-nucleotide ribosomal RNA is filed under the name uncultured bacterium. RNAcentral's name for it is "partial 16S ribosomal RNA". It matches the Rfam family "Bacterial small subunit ribosomal RNA", at positions 28 to 526 of the family's 1533-position model. The record is from RNAcentral.
GAUGAACGCUGGCGGCGUGCCUAAUACAUGCAAGUCGAACGAAGCGGGGGCGGGUGAGUAACACGUGGUUAACCUCCUUUACGGCUGGGUUAACUUCGGGGAACCGGUGGUAAACCUGAUACUUUUGGGUGGCUCCACGAUGCAUUAGCUAGUUGGUAAGGUAACGGCGUACCAAGGCAACGAUGCAUAGCCGACCUGAGAGGGUGAUCGGCCACACUGGAACUGAGAAACGGUCCAGACUCCUACGGGAGGCAGCAGUAGGGAAUCUUCCGCAAUGGGCGAAAGCCUGACGGAGCAACGCCGCGUGAGUGAUGAAGGUCUUCGGAUCGUAAAACUCUGUUAGUAGGGAAGCGGUACCUAAUCAGAAAGCCACGGCUAACUACGUGCCAGCAGCCGCGGUAAUAC